GAUGAACGCUAGCGGCAGGCCUAACACAUGCAAGUCGAGGGGCAUCACGGAUUGCUUGCAAUCUGAUGACGACCGGCGCACGGGUGCGUAACGCGUAUACAACCUACCUUUUAGCGGGGAAUAGCCCAGGGAAACUUGGAUUAAUGCCCCAUAGUAUAUAGACUUCUCCUGAAGUUUAUAUUAAACAUUUAUGGCUAUUAGAUGGGUAUGCGUCCUAUUAGUUAGUUGGUAAGGUAACGGCUUACCAAGGCAGCGAUAGUAGGGGUCCUGAGAGGGAGAUCCCCACACUGGUACUGAGACACGGACCCGACUCCUACGGGAGGCAGCAGUGAGGAAUAUUGGACAAUGGGCGAGAGCCUGAUCCAGCCAUGCCGCGUGCAGGAAGACUGCCCUAUGGGUUGUAAACUGCUUUUUACAGAGGAAGAACCACCCCCACGUGUGGGGGGUUUGACGGUACUCUGCGAAUAAGGAUCGGCUAACUCCGUG
This 486-nucleotide ribosomal RNA is filed under the name uncultured bacterium. RNAcentral's name for it is "bacterial SSU rRNA". It matches the Rfam family "Bacterial small subunit ribosomal RNA", at positions 28 to 507 of the family's 1533-position model. The record is from RNAcentral.